RNAcentral lists this long non-coding RNA (1239 nucleotides) under Homo sapiens (human). RNAcentral describes it as "HSALNT0342448". The record is from RNAcentral. Lineage: Eukaryota; Metazoa; Chordata; Mammalia; Primates; Hominidae.
UGGGAAAAAGAAGUAAUAUCACGUACCUUGACCAUGGUAUCAGAGAAUGACCUCAGAAGUUGUGAGGGAAUUCUCAGACAAAACUUUGAAAUAUAAUCCAGGAUUCAAUCAGGUAUUAUUUUAAUCUUUAAGUAGUCUUGAUGGGUUGCAAACUUUCAUGAAUAGAGGAGAGCUGCUAAGUACUUGGGUUAAGAGGGCUUGAGACCAACUCCGGUAUAAAUUGUGACAUUCUGUCUAUAUAGUAUAAAGGACGCUCAGCAUAACCCAAGAAGGUCACAGACCAGAAUCACUGGCUGAAACCUCUGGCAGUGACCAACCUCAACUCAAAAGCAAGCCUGAAAUCCCAAGAGGAGGUUGGUGAAUAAAGAGAAAUCAGAAAGGGACUGUCAGAUACCAACCCCCAACCAACCAGGGCUUUUCCCCACAUCACCACUCCCUGAAGGAACAGCGACAACUGAGGGAGUGGAAACACAUUUGGGACACGUGAUGCAAAGGUAACCUGGUGGCUCAUUUAAGGGCUGUGUGACUUGGAUUGGUCAUCAUCCUUUCUCCAGAUGGAGUUUCCCUUUUUACAAAAAGAUCUAGAAAAUCAGCUGUACUAGCAUAGACAGUGCUGCAGUAACAAAUUAGCUCUGGAGUCUUGGCUUAACACAGUAAAAGUUUAUUUCGUGUUUUCAUUAAAUGACACAUACAGGUUGGUGGUGGAAUGGGAAGUGGAGAUGGGAAUUCUGCUUAAGCACCCUGGUUGAUAGAGGCUCUGGCACUUGCAGCUAUAUUACUGGAGCCUUGGGCCAUCACCAUCUUGGCCGUAGAGGGAGAGAAUGCAUAGAGAAUUCACAUGUGUCCUAUACUUCAGCCUGGAAGGGACACAUAUCACCUCUGUCUCAGUGGUUGGACAGAACAAACUACAGAUGGACUGGGACAGAUGGGGAAGCCUAUGGAUAUUUGGUGAGCAAUACAAUAAAUGCCUCUGCCACAACAGCCUUUUAAUGCUGUGUGCAUGUUACUACGUGUUAUGGCAUCUCAGAAUUCCAGACAGAUCUUUUGGAUCCUAAUCUGCUGGGAUGUCUCAUCUAAGAUUCUUAUUUAUUUCCUGAGCACCUAAUAGGCAGUCCUCGUGUCAAAAACAGCACACCAGUGGGUUCUGCAUAAUGAUUUUACCUCUAGAGUUUUCCCUCUCCUCUCCUCUCCCCUCCCCUCCCCUCUUCUCCCCUCCCCUCCCCUCCCCUCUCCUCUCCC